CUUUGGAAGACACACCAAACUAGAAACUUCUUAGUAAUUUUUCCAUGGGAGCAUUAACUUCACCCUUCAGAGGUUAAGGGGAGCAAACAAGAACUUGAAGCAAUUUGUAAGCCAUCAGUGUUUGAUUUGUAAGUGAGCUAACUGCAUAUUUUAGCAGGUUGAGAGGAAAAGAGUGAAACAAUUUUAUUUAUCGAUUUGUUUUUGAAGUGCAUAAAUUGCUUUUAUCUCUGCUUUCCUCCUGUUUCCCUAACAGGGUUGUCAUCUGCCCUAUUCUUUCCUGUAACUGGAUUGUUCAUGUACUCUUAGUGCAUUUUUAUAUUGGCUAAAAUAAUCCAUUUUCUGUAUAUUUUAGAGCAGGAAAAGCAUCUGAUGCUUACUGCCAUGGCUAUUUUUCACAAACCAUCUAGAGUUCCCUCCUUCUAGCAUAAGAAGAUCCAAGGCUAUUGCCAGGGUUGUCUCCUGGAUUGAUCAGACUGUGGCUUCUCUGUCCUAUAUAGACAAGGAUAAAGAACCUCCCCGAGGUGCUCUAGGAGAGACAGCGAGAUCUGGUGGUGGGAUAUGGAGGUCUGAAGUCUCCCACCUGCUCUGCCAAGCAUGUACUCUCCAGCUUUGGGUGCACUGUGAGUUGAUUAACUCUGUUGUAGGAGACACGAACUGCAGCAUACCUACCAGCCACUGUUUGAGAAAAAGGAAGAGUAGAUCUGUGCCAUACAACAAUAUUUAUAAAUUAACUUAA
This 736-nucleotide long non-coding RNA is filed under the name Anas platyrhynchos platyrhynchos (common mallard). Its description in RNAcentral is "lncRNA (ENSAPLG00000030776.1)". The record is from RNAcentral. Lineage: Eukaryota; Metazoa; Chordata; Aves; Anseriformes; Anatidae.